Molecule: ribosomal RNA, 478 nt
Filed under: uncultured bacterium
Lineage: Bacteria
Description: partial 16S ribosomal RNA
Rfam family: Bacterial small subunit ribosomal RNA
Source: RNAcentral
GACGAACGCUGGCGGCGUGCUUAACACAUGCAAGUCGAACGGUAAGGCCCUUCGGGGUACACGAGUGGCGAACGGGUGAGUAACACGUGGGUGAUCUGCCCUGCACUUCGGGAUAAGCCUGGGAAACUGGGUCUAAUACCGGAUAGGACCACUGCCUGCAUGGGUGGUGGUGGAAAGCUCUUGCGGUGUGGGAUGGGCGCGGGGCCUAUCAGCUUGCUGGUGGGGUGAUGGCCUACCAAGGCGACGACGGGUAGCCGGCCUGGGAGGGUGACCGGCCACACUGGGACUGGGAUACGGCCCAGACUCCUACGGGAGGCAGCAGUGGGGAAUAUUGCACAAUGGGCGCAAGCCUGAUGCAGCGACGCCGCGUGAGGGAUGACGGCCUUCGGGUUGUAAACCUCUUUCAGCAUCGACGAAGCGCAAGUGACGGUAGGUGCAGAAGAAGGACCGGCCAACUACGUGCCAGCCGCCGCGGUAA